RNAcentral lists this ribosomal RNA (444 nucleotides) under uncultured bacterium. Its description in RNAcentral is "bacterial SSU rRNA". It matches the Rfam family "Bacterial small subunit ribosomal RNA", at positions 355 to 793 of the family's 1533-position model. The record is from RNAcentral.
UGGGGAAUUUUGGUCAAUGGGCGCAAGCCUGAUCCAGCCAUGCCGCGUGCAGGAUGAAGGCCUUCGGGUUGUAAACUGCUUUUGUACGGAACGAAAAGCCCCCUUCUAAUAAAGGGGGUGAUGACGGUACCGUAAGAAUAAGCACCGGCUAACUACGUGCCAGCAGCCGCGGUAAUACGUAGGGUGCAAGCGUUAAUCGGAAUUACUGGGCGUAAAGCGUGCGCAGGCGGUUAUGUAAGACAGAGGUGAAAUCCCCGGGCUCAACCUGGGAACUGCCUUUGUGACUGCAUAGCUUGAGUGCGGCAGAGGGGGAUGGAAUUCCGCGUGUAGCAGUGAAAUGCGUAGAUAUGCGGAGGAACACCGAUGGCGAAGGCAAUCCCCUGGGCCUGCACUGACGCUCAUGCACGAAAGCUGGGGAGCAAACAGGAUUAGAAACCCUAGUAG